AAGAGAGAGAGAGAGAGAAUAUUUUAAUGAAAAAGACAAACGAAUAGGUAAGUUAAGGGAGAGUGAGUUGUUGAGCGUUGGGUGAGGAUAAGCAGACCUAAAAAAUAAAAUAAAAGAAAGGGGGGUACCAUCUGAUUCCUGGGAUAGAGGACGGAAGAGACAAGGAGGAUGGGAGAUGGCUGCUGGGAAUGUCGUGAGAAGAGGAGAGAAACAGGGACUUUAGAAAGAGGGAGCAGCAGCUGGCUGGUGCUGAGUCAUGGGUGAUUGAGGGAGUGAUAGGCGGCUGCAGCAGGGUGGAGGAAAUGGAAGUGGUGGAGCAACAAGGUGGAGGAAGUUGCAGAUGGUUGUUGGAGUGGAGAGAUGAUGGUGGCAGCCGGUUGCAGAGAGAUUGAGUAGCAAGGAGAAGGGUCUGAGACAGUUGGGGGCAGCAGAGAAAGGUGGAGAUGGGAAGAUGAGGAUUCGGCAGAGGUGACUGCUGAGUGGUAAUAGGUAGUAGGGAACUAGAAGGAAGGAGCGGUGGUAACAGCUAAGAUGUCACCUGGUUUAGGAGAACAGACGAAAUGGGAGAGGCGGAGUUUGGUUGAUUUGCUGCGAUUGAGAGGGGCGGAGUUUGCUGGUCAGAAGAAAGAGGACUGGUUGGAGGAAAGGACGGCUAAUGAUAGAGGAUAAGAUAGGGGACCGGCUGGUGAUAGAUUAGAGAGAUGGCGGCAACCUGAAUUCUAGGUACGGGAAGAAGGAAGGGAGUUUGGCGAGAAUCAAGGGAAGAGAGCGGCUGCGUGAUUGGAGUGGAUUUGAGAGGCUGGUGGUGGCAGAGGAAGGUCGUGGCAGACGGCAUUGGGGGAGGAGGAGUGCGCCCUGCGAUGAAAGAGAUGAGUGCAUACGGCAAUGAUACGGCAACGAGUAAAGAUGAGUGGGCACGACGAUGAGGGAGGAGGCGGAGUGCGCGAGAUGGUGAUAGGGUUAGGAAAGGGGGGGGGUACGGCGACAGGGGAAAGAUAGGUUAGAGGGAAGAUACUUUGGCGCGGCCAGAGGAAAAAUAAGGGUUCACGCCACGAUAGGGUUAGGAAAGUGGCGCACGGAUGGCUUUUGGUAAGGAAAUGAGCAAAGGACGACAAGACCUAAGAGAGAAGGAAGUCACCACAAAGGUGCACUAAAUAAAGGGUGUGGCAAGGUGCAAAAGAAAAAAAAAGAAAAAAGAAAAGGGAAGAUGGAGGCCGGGAUUACCACAUAAAAGAGAGGGAGGUAGACCCAAGGGUUCACAUAGAGGAAAUCAUCAUGUGAGGGACUACAGAGAGGGAAGGAAAGAAUAAGAAAGGCAGAAAGAAUGAUAUAGACGGCAAUAGGCUUUCGCCAUAUGUGAAAGAGGAGAGAGAAAGAAAAGAAGAAAGAGUAUGAGAAGAGAUAUUUUUUAUGAAGGCGUGUUUAAGGUCAUGCCUUCGGGACCUGUGUGAAGCCUUUUAAUAUCAUGCGGUCAGGACGUGGGCUACAGUUUAAGGUCAUAUAGUUGUACCAUAGUGGAGAUGGAUGGCAGUCUGUUGAGGCCAUGGAGUGAGUAUGGUGGUGGUUUUGGCUCACUUUGGGGAGAUGGCACGAGGCUACCACAGAAAAGUGGAAGAUGUAUGAAUGGAAGGUGAAAAGUGGUGACCCACUAGCUUACGAUGAGUAUGGAUGCUGGAAUGGCUCGCCCUUUUGUGAGCACGGGUGAGACUCACUGGGGAAUGAUGGAUGAUAGUGAAGCGAUAUGGACUCGCUGGGGAGGUAAUGAAGGUGGUGCGCAUACACGAACGGGUCAGUUAGGGAAGACGUGCGUGAAAAUGAAUAUAAAGGGUACGUGCGUGUGUGGAGGUGAAUUUAAAGUCAUGCCUCCUGGACCUGUGCAAAUCAGUUUAACGUCA
Molecule: long non-coding RNA, 1895 nt
Filed under: Amborella trichopoda
Lineage: Eukaryota; Viridiplantae; Streptophyta; Magnoliopsida; Amborellales; Amborellaceae
Description: long non-coding RNA (ATRI_LNC004074)
Source: RNAcentral